GCGGCCCCGCCGGCGGACGCCGCUGUCCCGCCGGACCGGACCGGGCCACGGCGCAGGAUUUCAGGAUCUCAGACAGGCUGACGGCUCCAGGAUAAGCCCGACCUGUCCCCCGCACUCCCUGGCCGGCCGGAGGAGUUUGUCCGCAGGGAAAGAAAAAGGCGCACACGGCGCCGGGAGCUAUCGCUCAGCACCUCAGCCUCGAUCCGGCCCUCAGCGUUUGUCCAUCUCACCCACUCUGGCAGGUCCCACUACAAAUCCCAAAAACGAAGGGGGAGCCAUUGCUUCAGGUCCCCAGAAAUCUUACACCAAACAGCCUGCCACGCUCCAGAUCUGUCCUGGAAAACAGCUGUGGGCUUGUGCACUUCUCAGUUUUAUUCUGAGAUAUCAGAAGGGUUUUGAAGGGUUUUUUUUUUUUCCAUUCAGAAGUAGACAUUUUUUCAUUUUAAGUGUAUCAGUAAAUAUUAACUACUCACACACAGUCUAUGAGUUAGUCUACUCACCAAAGUUAUGUCAUUAAAAUCAAGAGAAUAACAGCAAAGGGACUGAGUAUACAAGGGCAAACCCAGAUAGGGCAUGAAAACAGUGCUGCAUGUUCUUUUUGUUAGUAGUGGCUAUUGUGGCUAAUAAGUGUUAUUUGUGACAGGUUUUUUUUGCAAAACAAACCUCAAAUUAGAGUGCAAGAAUAUACAAUAUGCAAGGGAAUAUGCAUAUUGUGUAUUCACAAUAUGAGCACAAACCCCAGGAAUUGUGACAUCCUUGAAAUAGCUAAAUUAAUUAAAAAUUGGGUCUUCAUUUAUUUUAUGAAGGAAACUCAGAGGCUAUAAGAAAUGUCUUGAAGCUCAACUUUUUCCAUAAGCCUUCUAAUAACCAACUUUGCCCUGAAGACCUGACUUGUUGUUUGCUGUCAUAAGCACCUGAAUUUUAGCCUUUGUGUUGUACAUGGGUCCAGAUGUUGUACAAGUGUCCUGGAGCAGCUGUCUUGUUGUUCAUGUGUUUGCAAAGUGAUAGGCACGCUCACAGUGCAUUAUAAUUAAAAAAAUUGAGAGGAUGUGCUAGUCCUUCAGAGUGCAAUACAGUCACACACCUGAUCCCAUAUGCUGGCAGAAUGGACUGAUGCUCACACGCUUUCUGUGGAGAAAAAAGGAUAUCCCAGUUUUUUAUUCAUAGAUAAUUUUUCAAAUAUAUGUAAUAUAUAUGUUUUCAAAUAUAUGUAAUACACACAUACAGCCUUCAAUGCAUAAUAAGCUCCUGUGAUUUUGAUAACAUUUUGUAUUAAGCUCAUGUAUUCAAAUAUUAGUCAUUUAUUUGACUGUGACAAUAUCUGGAGAUAUGUUGGAGUAAUUACCUGGCUAAUGCAUGUGUGGAGCAGUGCUUUCUUGUUUGGAAUGAAUUGGGAGCCACAGAGGGAAUAAAUCAAGGCUCAGAGUUAAAAGUGGCAUGGACAUGGAGCACUGGACUCCUAUCCCCAUUAGCAUGCUGAAUUUCUGACUGGUAACUACGUUUCAGCUCUGGACCCUGAGGACAUCCCCAGUGAUGGGGGGAUCAUUUAAUCAAUUUUACUAAGCCCUUUAAACAGCCCUGUAGUUUUUAAUUACAACUUCAUGCCUGCUGAAGAACAGCAAAAUUGUGGCUGUGACUAGAUAGCAAAUAAGGCAUGACAGAUGUUAAAAGGUGUAGUGUGUGAUACCUAAUAGCUAGUGAAAUGUAAUAUUUAACAGUAACUAAACCCAUCAGAAACUUAACAAAUUCUGGUCAAAACUAGACAAAUUGUAAUUUAGUGUAUGUUGUUCAUUAGAGAAAAGAGCCUGUGAAUUGAUUCAAGGGGGUGUGUAAAUUGAUUUAAUUAAUCUAAGGUAAAGCACAAUCUGUUUUGAGAAGAGCUUUCAGAAGCAUGAGGUGACAGUGAGCUAACUUUCUUAAAACACCCUGCUAAAUUAUAGUGUAGAAAAAGACUCUAUUUCUCUGCUCAGAAAGAGCUUUCUUGCUGUCCCUGCCUUGCUUUCUUGCUUCUCAUUUUACCUUGCCUCACUUCAGAGAGAUUUCUUCUAAACUUUCUCUUAUAAGUUAGCAAACUUCCUUUAAACAGACUUGGUUUGUCACAGCCACAGUCAGUUUGCUGUGUUCUUUGCCCUGGGUCACCCGAUGAAAAGGGAAUACUGACCAGAGGCUCCUUAGCAAUUCUAAUUAUUUCUGAAUAGGACUUCUGCCAGGUAACAUCAGAUGAAAGUACAGUUGAUGAAUGUCCAUCAACAGCAUUGCCCUGCUGCAAGAGUUCUGAAGUCUAAACAAGAUGUUAGAGUUGUACACUUCACAUCAUCCAUCAUAAUUUUUCUCUUUUUAUUCCCCUUUCACCUUUCAGAAAUUCAACAGUCAUUUAGCUUUAGGCAACCCCUUGUGCUCCUAAGUCUUUUCUGUAAAACACUGAAAUUCUCACUCAUCUUCAUCUGAUGAUCUUGUUAAUGAGGUACUUCUGCCACAUCAUUCUGACCCAAGAUUUUAAAACAUGAUUUUUUUUGGUGCCCAAACCACAUGCACAGGAGAAGUUUUGAGGAACAGUUUAAGAAACAUCUGAAAAUCGUUGACCCCAAGUCAGGCACCACGUGUCUCUGGCAGUGAAGAGUAGCACAGCCGUGUCUGAAUAUUUUUGGCUGUGAUUUGCUCAGCUGAGUGGGCCUAAACUGUGAUGGUGAGAUAAAAACCAUUCAAAGUUUGUCGUCAAACUCAAGUAUGACAGAAACAGGACCACACCAUCUGCCUAAAAUUUCAGUAUCUGGACUCUUAUAUUGCCUUGCAUAUUCCUGGGAAAGAAUACAUGGAAAUGGGUGUGUAUUUCAAAGGUAACUGAUGAGAAGUAUGUUGAGAUUGGGAGAAGGUGUGGGAGGAACAUGUGUGGGACUAUACAGAUUUGAUACUGAUGGGGAAGGAGAAGUGGAAGGGGCUUUCCACUGCAGUGCCUCUGCCGGUACAGAGGGCUGUAGGUGGAGGGAAGAAGAAAAGGGAAGGGCUGUAGGUGGUUCACACACACUCUCAGCACACACCCUAGGCCAGGAGCUGCACUUGUUUGCCAAUGAAAAACAAGAAAGCUUUGUGGGCACCACAGUGAAGGAGGUAGGUGGAAAUUCAGGUGUGGAAGCAGUGAAUAGAAAAUUCCCUUCCAAUUCCCUUUCCUUUGGCAGAGUGAGCCAUAUAGCUGAAAAAAGAGCCUGAGGAAUAAUGGGUGCCAGAUCUGGAAUGAGAGGAGGAGGGUCUGGGGUUUCUCUGGAUUCUCUUUUUUUCUCUAGGAAGUGGCAUUUCCUAAGAAAGCUGCUGAGAGUCAUGCAAAUACAUGAAAGGCACAGGGAGAAAAUGCUGGGUGCACAGGUGUUCAGUUUAUUUGUUUUUUUAAUUAAAUUUUUAACCCAUGUAGGCAUAUGCUGAGAAAAGGGAAGAAACAGACUUUUGGUGUAAGUCCCAUGCUCUGAUCCAUGGAAACAGAUUCUUAUGCUAGAGUGGAUCCAGGCUUACUACCACAAAGUGACCCAAGGUAUGGUAGAUGUCAAAGUGUAAGGGCUAAUGUUCAGAAGGAGUGUUCUGGUGUCUGGGAAUGACUUCAGAGACCUAUUAGGCAAGGAAAAUAUAGAUAAACAUGUUUAAAAUACAUGUAAUAUGUACUAAGGCAAUGAAAUUCAGGUUUUACUAGUGUAAUAGGCUAAUUACAUAAUUAAUAUUCUUUGUGUAUACUGUUGCUGAAAUAUACUUUGAGUAUUGCUAAUAUUACACAUCUACAUUUCCUAAUUGUCAAAAAUAUUUUGCAUUAUAAUCCAUAAUACUACAGAAAGUGCAUGUAGGGAUUUGUAGGAGACUGAAAAAAAAGCACAAGAUGUCUGCAAGGUGUGUUUUAUCAUUACUGUAGCAUUAUCUGGUGUUUUCUCUGAUUUUUUUUUCAGUUAUUUAUUUAUUUUUUAAAAUAAAUUAAAAUGCUCUUCAAGAA
Long non-coding RNA from Melospiza melodia melodia, 3970 nucleotides. RefSeq lists it as uncharacterized. NCBI's taxonomy places the organism in Eukaryota, Metazoa, Chordata, Aves, Passeriformes, Passerellidae. The transcript has 2 exons. The record is from RefSeq and is a predicted model, not a curated record.